GACGAACGCUGGCGGCGUGCCUAAUACAUGCAAGUCGAACGCACAGUUUAUACCGUAGCUUGCUCCACCAUGGACUGUGAGUUGCGAACGGGUGAGUAACGCGUAGGUAACCUGCCUGGUAGCGGGGUAUAACUAUUGGAAACGAUAGCUAAUACCGCAUAAUAUUAAUUAUUCCAUGAUAAUUAAUUGAAAGGUGCAAUUGCACCACUACCAGAUGGACCUGAGUUGUAUUAGCUAGUAGGGGAGGUAACGGCUCACCUAGGCGUAGAUACAUAGCCGACCUUGAAGGGUGAUCAGCCACGCUGGGACUGAGACACGGCCCAGAAUCCUACGGGAGGGAGCAGGAGGGGAGUUUCGGCAAAGGACGGAAGGCUGACCGAGGAACGCCGGGGGAGGGAAGGAGGUUGUCGGAUCGGAAAAGUCUGUUUUAAGGGAAGAACGGGUAUGAGAGUGAAACGUUCACAUUGUGACGGUACCUUAACAGAAAGCAACGGCUAACUACGUG
This 505-nucleotide ribosomal RNA is filed under the name uncultured bacterium. RNAcentral describes it as "partial 16S ribosomal RNA". It matches the Rfam family "Bacterial small subunit ribosomal RNA", at positions 28 to 507 of the family's 1533-position model. The record is from RNAcentral.